This 252-nucleotide ribosomal RNA is filed under the name uncultured bacterium. Its description in RNAcentral is "partial 16S ribosomal RNA". It matches the Rfam family "Bacterial small subunit ribosomal RNA", at positions 524 to 776 of the family's 1533-position model. The record is from RNAcentral.
UACGGAGGGUGCAAGCGUUGUUCGGAAUUAUUGGGCGUAAAGGGCAGGUAGGUGGUCCCAAAAGUCUACUGUGAAAUCCCCGGGCUUAACUCGGGAAGUGCGGUAGAUACUCUGGGACUAGAGUGCUGGAGGGGUUCGUGAAUUCCCGGUGUAGCGGUGAAAUGCGCAGAUAUCAGGAGGAACACCGAUGGCGAAGGCAGGUCUCUGGGCCACUACUGACGCUGAGAAGCGAAGGCGUGGGGAGCGAACAGG